Molecule: ribosomal RNA, 794 nt
Filed under: uncultured fungus
Lineage: Eukaryota; Fungi
Description: eukaryotic LSU rRNA
Rfam family: Eukaryotic large subunit ribosomal RNA (bases 161-794)
Source: RNAcentral
UUCGAGCGUCAUUAAUCACCCNNCAAGCUCCGGCUUGGUGUGAGGCCUGCCGUAAAGGCNCCCUUUAAAAUCAGUGGCAGUNCGUCCGGCUCUAAGCGUAGUAAAUCCAUCGCUAUAGACUCGGGCGGACGCUCGCCAGAACACCCCCAUUUUUAAUGAUUGACCUCGGAUUAGGUAGGGAUACCCGCUGAACUUAAGCAUAUCAAUAAGCGGAGGAAAAGAAACCAACAGGGAUUGCCUCAGUAACGGCGAGUGAAGCGGCAAAAGCUCAAAUUUGAAAUCUGGCUCUCUCAGGGUCCGAGUUGUAAUUUGUAGAAGAUGUUUCGGGUGUGGCUCCGGUUUAAGUUCUUUGGAAUAUUACAUCAUAGAGGGUGAGAAUCCCGUAUGUGACCGGCAGCCUUCGCCCAUGUGAGACUCUUUCGACGAGUCGAGUUGUUUGGGAAUGCAGCUCAAAAUGGGAGGUAUAUUUCUUCUAAAGCUAAAUAUAGGCCAGAGACCGAUAGCGCACAAGUAGAGUGAUCGAAAGAUGAAAAGCACUUUGGAAAGAGAGUUAAACAGUACGUGAAAUUGUUGAAAGGGAAGCGCUUGCAACCAGACUUGCACGCAGUUGAUCAUCCGGGGUUCUCCCCGGGGCACUCGGCUGCGUUCAGGCCAGCAUCGGUUUUGGUGGUUGGAUAAAGGCCUUGGGAAUGUGGCUUCCUUCGGGGAGUGUUAUAGCCCUCGGUGCAAUGCAGCCUACCGGGACCGAGGACCGCGCUUCGGCUAGGAUGCUGGCGUAAUGGUUGUAAGCGACC